Molecule: ribosomal RNA, 429 nt
Filed under: Verrucomicrobiota bacterium
Lineage: Bacteria; Pseudomonadati; Verrucomicrobiota
Description: Verrucomicrobia bacterium partial 16S ribosomal RNA
Rfam family: Bacterial small subunit ribosomal RNA
Source: RNAcentral
UAGGGAAUCUUCCGCAAUGGACGAAAGUCUGACGGAGCAACGCCGCGUGAGUGAAGAAGGAUUUCGGUUCGUAAAACUCUGUUGUUAGGGAAGAAAAAAUGUAUAGUAACUAUAUACAAAAGAGACGGUACCUAACCAGAAAGCCACGGCUAACUACGUGCCAGCAGCCGCGGUAAUACGUAGGUGGCAAGCGUUGUCCGGAAUUAUUGGGCGUAAAGCGCGCGCAGGUGGUUUAGAAAGUCUGAUGUGAAAGCCCACGGCUCAACCGUGGAAGGUCAUUGGAAACUAAUAAACUUGAGUGCAGGAGAGAAAAGUGGAAUUCCUAGUGUAGCGGUGAAAUGCGUAGAGAUUGGGAGGAACACCGGUGGCGAAAGCGGCUUUUUGGCCUGCAACUGACACUGAGGCGCGAAAGCGUGGGGAGCAAACAGG